Molecule: ribosomal RNA, 432 nt
Filed under: uncultured bacterium
Lineage: Bacteria
Description: partial 16S ribosomal RNA
Rfam family: Bacterial small subunit ribosomal RNA
Source: RNAcentral
ACGCACGCUGGCGGCAUGCCUAACACCUGCAAAUCGCACGAGACCUUCGGGUCUAGUGGCGCACGGGUGCGUAACGCGUGGGAACCUGCCCUUAGGUUCGGAAUAACUCCCCGAAAGGGGUGCUAAUACCGGAUAAUGUCUUCGGACCAAAGAUUUAUCGCCUUUGGAUGGGCCCGCGUUGGAUUAGCUAGUUGGUAGGGUAAAAGCCUACCAAGGCGACGAUCCAUAGCUGGUCUGAGAGGAUGAUCAGCCACACUGGGACUGAGACACGGCCCAGACUCCUACGGGAGGCAGCAGUGGGGAAUAUUGGACAAUGGGCGAAAGCCUGAUCCAGCAAUGCCGCGUGAGUGAUGAAGGCCUUAGGGUUGUAAAGCUCUUUUACCCGGGAUGAUAAUGACAGUACCGGGAGAAUAAGCUCCGGCUAACUCCGUG